Molecule: long non-coding RNA, 434 nt
Organism: Bos taurus (domestic cattle)
Lineage: Eukaryota; Metazoa; Chordata; Mammalia; Artiodactyla; Bovidae
Source: Ensembl
UUACAUACAUAAUGUGGGAUUCCAACUAUAUGAUAUUCUGCAAAAAGCUCUGAAAAAGACGUUCUGGAAACAGUUGCCAGGGAUGGGGGAGGGAGGGAUGGCUAGGUGGACUUUCAGGAUAGUGAAACUAUUCUGAAUGAUACUCUAAGGUGGAUACAAACCUUAGAGUUUGUAUCUUACAGGAUAGUGAAACUAUUCUGAAUGAUACUCUAAAGUAGAUACAAACCUUAGAGUUUGUGUCUUACAGGAUAGUGAAACUAUUCUGAAUGAUACUCUAAAGUGGAUACAAACCUUAGGGCAGAUACAAAUCCAUAAAUUAUGCAACAGAGUAAACUCAAACUUCAGCUAUGAACUUUAGUUAACAAUAAUGUAUCCGUAUUGGUUCAUCAUUGUAACAAGUGGGCCAUCGCUGCAACAAAUGUAACAUUAAGGCA